UGCAUGUGUUCGGCACUCUUUGUAGUGCCUGCGGACGGCUCAUUAAAACAGAGAUAACCUACUCUCAGUGAUAGACGGAUAACUAUGCUAAUUGUGUGGCUAAUACGUGAGUUUAUCGCUUGUCGAUGUCCCAACUACCUUGGUAUUUAACUUGAUAGUUUGUUGGGUUCUUAGGCUCUGCCUAUAGAGAAUGGGUCUCUGAUCUAUCAGCUGUAGACGGUUGUGUAUUGGACAACCGUGGCUUUGACGGAUAACGGGGAAUUAGGGUUCGAUUCCGGAGAGAAAGCAUGAGAAACGGCUUUCACAGCUAAGGUUGGCAGCAGGAGCGAAAACUUUUCAAAUAGGCAAUGCCUGAAAAGGUGACUAUCUGUAUCAACAACUGCAAUUUGUAGUUGAUUGAAAUGAGAGACCUCUAGACAGCGUCUCGAGUAGCAAGUUCAGGGCAAGUCUGGUGCCAGCAGCCGCGGUAAUACCAGCUGAGCUAGAAAUGGGUAAUAUUGUUGCAGUAAAAACGUNCGUAGUCACUCUCUUUCUUUCGGGGACUUCCUUUGUGUUUUCCUCUUUUGAAUGAGUAAUGUUGAAUUUAUUUGACAUUUCCUCCGCGAGUAAAAUA
This 613-nucleotide ribosomal RNA is filed under the name Heliospora cf. longissima. Its description in RNAcentral is "bacterial SSU rRNA". It matches the Rfam family "Eukaryotic small subunit ribosomal RNA", at positions 52 to 725 of the family's 1831-position model. Lineage: Eukaryota; Apicomplexa; Conoidasida; Eugregarinorida; Uradiophoridae. The record is from RNAcentral.